Long non-coding RNA from Melospiza melodia melodia, 732 nucleotides. RefSeq lists it as uncharacterized. Lineage: Eukaryota; Metazoa; Chordata; Aves; Passeriformes; Passerellidae. The transcript has 3 exons. The record is from RefSeq and is a predicted model, not a curated record.
AAACUGAAUUCCAUCCAUUGCCUUCUCUGGUUGUAGGAUCAGACAACUUAGAUACUGCAGUUAAAGAAAUAGUUCCCUUUGGGAGAGAGUCUCUACACAAAAGGCUGCCUUGCUUGUCCUGUUCUGCCCCUGUGAAGAUAUGAAUUAAUUUUGUUUUGGCAAUGAAUGCGUUAUUUUGAUGGGCAGUUCAUUUGAAAACCAAGAAAUCCUCCACAGCUGCUUCUGCUAACAAAGAAACAAAAAUGUUUUCCUGAAUCAACCAAACAUUUGACUGCUCCAUCUAGGGAGGGUUUUGUAUGCCAAAAGCUUGUAAGCAUCCCCCAACUAUGUGAGUCUGCCUAAGAAAGGUUGCCUAAACAGAGACCUGCACUUAAUACCUUGUACUGUGAUUUCCCUCUAGUUCCCAUCAUUAAGACUGCCUACCUAGACUGGACAAGCAUGGCAGGGCAAUGCCACAGAGACUUUCAGAAGAGUUUUGUUAUUAUCAAAGUGCAGGAGAGCAGAUGCCAUCACCAUCACUGAAACAGGCCAGUUGUCUCAAACUGCAGCCAUCAUGGUCAGCUGGUAUCCCCCAGACUCUCUUGAUUUCUCUUCAAAACAAAUUCAUUCUAAAUAAUUUUUCACUAAGCUAUAGUAACAGACCAUAAACAUCAAGCAGGAAACAAAAAGACAGUUCUGGCUCAAGAGCGCUUGCUAUAAACCCAGCAUGCAUCAUUUAAGGUGAAAAUUAGA